GCGUAUAUUAAAGUUGCUGCAGUUAAAAAGCUCGUAGUUGAAUUUCGGGACCAUCAAGUCGGUCGUGCCUCGGUACGUACUGGUAUUGUUGGUUUCUCCCUUCUGACGAACCAUGAUGUCAUUUAUUUGGUGUUGUGGGGAAUCAGGACUGUUACUUUGAAAAAAUUAGAGUGUUUAAAGCAGGCUCACGCUUGAAUACAUUAGCAUGGAAUAAUGAAAUAGGACGUUUGAUUCUAUUUUGUUGGUUUCUAGGAUCGACGUAAUGAUUAAUAGGGAUAGUUGGGGGCAUUAGUAUUCAAUUGUCAGAGGUGAAAUUCUUGGAUUUAUUGAAGACUAACUACUGCGAAAGCAUUUGCCAAGGAUGUUUUCAUUAAUCAAGAACGAAAGUUAGGGGAUCGAAGACGAUCAGAUACCGUCGUAGUCUUAACCAUAAA
RNAcentral lists this ribosomal RNA (434 nucleotides) under uncultured Glomus. RNAcentral's name for it is "SSU rRNA". It matches the Rfam family "Eukaryotic small subunit ribosomal RNA", at positions 597 to 1036 of the family's 1831-position model. The record is from RNAcentral. Lineage: Eukaryota; Fungi; Glomeromycota; Glomeromycetes; Glomerales; Glomeraceae.